Molecule: long non-coding RNA, 422 nt
Organism: Symphalangus syndactylus (siamang)
Lineage: Eukaryota; Metazoa; Chordata; Mammalia; Primates; Hylobatidae
Source: RefSeq, a predicted model, not a curated record
AUCUGGGGGCAGAGACAAGCUGCAGGUCAGAAUCCUUGAUGGCAGGUGCCAGUGAUGGGGAACCACCCUGGACAUCAGGAGCAAGGCAGGGCAGAGGCUGAGGGUAUCAGUGAACCAGUAAAAUUAAAACCAAAACCAAGACACACACACAGAGAGAGAACGAAGAGGAAACGUGGGGACAGACAGGACUGCAAUCUUCAACUUUGCCAAAUAAAGACAUGAAAAACCAACCGCCAUCCACUGCUGCCGUGCCAUCGUUUCAAAAAGGAAGUUGUUUUAACCCCACAAAAGCAACUGAGGGGCCAGGCGCAGUGGCUCACGCCUGUAAUCCCAGCACUUUGGGAGGCCGAGGCGGGUGGAUCACGAGAUCAGGAGUUCGAGACUAGCCUGGCCAACAUGGAGAAACCCGUCUCUACUAAAAA